UGCCAGUCAAAUUCAGCUUUUCAUGGUGGAGCUGGCCCAGAUGGGUGCCACAGCAAUCUCUGCUGUUCAUGGGCCUGUGUCCCUGCAUUGGGGACAUUUAUAACUAAUAACAUUU
This is a small nucleolar RNA of Grammomys surdaster, 115 nucleotides long. RefSeq annotates it as small nucleolar RNA SNORA5. The record is from RefSeq and is a predicted model, not a curated record. Lineage: Eukaryota; Metazoa; Chordata; Mammalia; Rodentia; Muridae. The transcript has a single exon.